Molecule: ribosomal RNA, 434 nt
Filed under: uncultured bacterium
Lineage: Bacteria
Description: bacterial SSU rRNA
Rfam family: Bacterial small subunit ribosomal RNA
Source: RNAcentral
UGAGGAAUAUUGGUCAAUGGGCGGGAGCCUGAACCAGCCAAGCCGCGUGAGGGAAGAAGGCGCUCAGCGUCGUAAACCUCUUUAGCCGGGGAACAAAGAGCCGCUCGGGAAGCAGCGUUGAGCGUACCCGGAGAAUAAGCAUCGGCUAACUCCGUGCCAGCAGCCGCGGUAAUACGGAGGAUGCGAGCGUUAUCCGGAUUUAUUGGGUUUAAAGGGUGCGCAGGCGGACGCGCAAGUCUGCGGUCAAAUUCCGGGGCUCAACCCCGGACCGCCGUGGAAACUGUGCGACUGGAGUGGGCGAGAGGCAUGCGGAAUGCGCGGUGUAGCGGUGAAAUGCUUAGAGAUCGCGCAGAACUCCGAUUGCGAAGGCAGCAUGCCGGCGCCUUACUGACGCUCAUGCACGAAAGCGUGGGGAUCGAACAGGAUUAGAUACC